This 253-nucleotide ribosomal RNA is filed under the name uncultured bacterium. RNAcentral describes it as "partial 16S ribosomal RNA". It matches the Rfam family "Bacterial small subunit ribosomal RNA", at positions 524 to 776 of the family's 1533-position model. The record is from RNAcentral.
UACGUAGGGUGCGAGCGUUAAUCGGAAUUACUGGGCGUAAAGCGUGCGCAGGCGGUUCGUUAAGUCAGAUGUGAAAGCCCCGGGCUCAACCUGGGAACUGCAUUUGAAACUGGGGGGCUUGAGUAUGGCAGAGGGGGGUGGAAUUCCGCGUGUAGCAGUGAAAUGCGUAGAGAUGUGGAGGAAUACCGAUGGCGAAGGCAGCCCCCUGGGAUAACACUGACGCUCAUGCACGAAAGCGUGGGGAGCAAACAGG